RNAcentral lists this ribosomal RNA (253 nucleotides) under uncultured bacterium. Its description in RNAcentral is "partial 16S ribosomal RNA". It matches the Rfam family "Bacterial small subunit ribosomal RNA", at positions 524 to 776 of the family's 1533-position model. The record is from RNAcentral.
UACAGAGGGUGCGAGCGUUAAUCGGAAUUACUGGGCGUAAAGCGUGCGUAGACGGCUAUCUAAGUCGGGUGUGAAAGCCCCGGGCUCAACCUGGGAAUUGCAUUCGAGACUGAAUAGCUAGGGUGCGGUAGAGGGAAGCGGAAUUUCCGGUGUAGCGGUGAAAUGCGUAGAUAUCGGAAGGAACAUCAGUGGCGAAAGCGGCUCCCUGGACCAGCACCGACGUUCAGGCACGAAAGCGUGGGGAGCAAACAGG